GAAGUUUUACUUAUAUAUUUUAUUUGAAAGAGGGUUCAAACAAAUUCACAUUUUUAUUGUUCUUUGUUCAUGACAACUGGACUGAAAAAAAGUUGUAUUUUGUUUCUGUUCUGUUUUUUUGUUUUGUGCAACUUACCACUUCCUUUCUGUUGCACCUACAUACACACUACAUUUCAAAACACGUGGUAAUGUUCCAGUCCCUCCUUCUCUGUCUGAUGGUCACCAUGUCUCGUGUAAACCAAGCCGCUGUGCUCUUCACUUUGCUGCUUGUUUUGUGUCGUGUCCUUACAGAGCCGAAGGUAAAGUUCCAGAGUGUCAUUCUCUGUCUGAUGGUCAUGACGUUCAGCCAAAACCAAGCAGCUCUGCUCCUCAUUGUGCUGCUAGUGCGCCGUGUCUUUGCAGAUAUCCCAGUAACUGACCACAGGAAUAUGCUGGUAUCCAGAGGAGACCCAGUCACGUUCCACUGCAACGUAUCCACAGAAAAUGCUUCAGAAAUGAUUUACAUCAUUUACAAACAUUCUAUCCUGAUAAAUCAGACUUUUUUAAAUGUAUCUUAUGACAGACUGAGAAUAGAUCCUUUAAAGUUAAACAUUUUCAGUGCUCAACCUGAAGAUGCAGGACUUUAUUCAUGUAGUGUAACUUCCAGACGAGGCUUAAACAGUGUUUCCUGGACUUUAACUGUGUCUGAGAACAUUGAAGAAAUCAGCUCAUCAUAUUUACCAUACAUACUCACAGCUGCAGUCGGAUUGCUUCUAUGUGUCAUCGCAACAGCUGUCUGCCUCUGGAGAAGACGUCGGGCCAGGACCUGAAACUCCGUAUGAGAGCAGGAUCCUGAGCCAGGCUCAGUAUCAAGUUCUAUUGGGAGGAGAGGUCGCCCCUCCUCAACCCUACAGACGUGCAGUGUAUAGAACAAUCAUGAACUCUGAGAGACUCCUGUAAACCUGUCGAGUCCACUGAGCUGACAAGCACAAAGUACAAGAGAAAGAAAGUAUUUCAUUACAUGUGAAAACGAUGCAUCUCAGUAUUGUUCUUGUAAUAAGGAAAAUUACCAAAGUGUAUCUUAUGUUUUUAAAUGUUUAAUCUAUUUUUUUCUUGCAUGCAGAUCGUCACCAUUGUAUUCCUAUAUCCUCUCCUUGUGUUUUUUGGCCUUCCCUGGUGUCUUUUAGAUUUGUUUGUUAGGUUUACCCUGCAGUACCUUAAUUUUCAUUAAUACAUUUUGUUUCCUCCUCCUGUCUCCUUCCUGUGUUCUGCAUUUGGGUCCAACUUGUUUUUUGUUUUUUCUGGACCUCCACCACAUUCUUCUCUGAUAACUUUUUCAUACUUCUGCUCUUGGACCUGAGCUUCAUACACAGUGUUCACAUAGACACACAUACGGGUAAUGGGGAAGAGGUGGAUACGAUCUGAAAUCAGAGAAGACAGAGCAGUGACACACAAGGAAAAAGGAAGUGACCUGAAACGAGAGAAGAGUUACAUUUCAAAAUAAAACAGGAAGUCAUGAGACAAGAAUGGGGACAAGACAAAACCUCAGCAAGUUGUGACAUGUACCUGGAUUGUGACGAUAUAAAAGCGUUUCUUCAAAGAAAAUCAGAAGAGAGGAGAGCAGACUGAGAGGCAGAAGAGACAAGAACACAUUAAGAAACCAGAAACUACAGUCUUCAUGUUAAAGGUUUCAGAUGUAAUGUUGUUAUAAUGUAAAAUAAAGUUAACUCAA
Molecule: long non-coding RNA, 1711 nt
Organism: Mugil cephalus (flathead mullet)
Lineage: Eukaryota; Metazoa; Chordata; Actinopteri; Mugiliformes; Mugilidae
Exons: 6
Source: RefSeq, a predicted model, not a curated record